This 354-nucleotide unclassified non-coding RNA is filed under the name Xenorhabdus doucetiae. RNAcentral's name for it is "16S-23S ribosomal RNA intergenic spacer". The stretch from base 86 to 158 matches the Rfam family "tRNA". Lineage: Bacteria; Pseudomonadati; Pseudomonadota; Gammaproteobacteria; Enterobacterales; Morganellaceae. The record is from RNAcentral.
ACCUGAGAUAGUAGAUUUUGUGCAGUGCCCACACAGAUUGUCUGAUGAAAGAAGAAAUGAGCAGCGUCUGCGAAGAAGACUCGAUGUCCCCUUCGUCUAGAGGCCUAGGACACCGCCCUUUCACGGCGGUAACAGGGGUUCGAAUCCCCUAGGGGACGCCAUAUUGCUCGAGGUGCUGGGUGAAAGGCGGUGCCGCACAGUAUUGUUAAGCGUGGCUUGCGAGUCAGUUUAGCAAUAUUUGCUCUUUAACAAUCUGGAACAAGCUGAAAAUUUGAAACAAUCAGUAUGGUCAUUCAUGACGAUAUUGAUGAGUCUCUCAACACACUCCGACCUGAAGACACCUUCGGGUUGUGA